AUUCUUUAACAGGAAGCUCUGUGAGAGUCAGCCCAGGCAGGCAAAUCGCUCCUCACCCUCCUGUCCCUCUCGGGAUGGACAGAGCCUCAGUGGGGCUGCAGAGCCACAAGCCACCGAGAAGAUGCUGGCUCUGUCCGUCCAUCCACUCCUCUGGCUGUUGGGCUGCGCGCUGUGCCAAGGUACUACAACAUCCAACUCUGUCCACACUGUAACAGGUCAAUCCCAAACAACACCACAAAGCCCGGAAGUAAAGAACCAUACCACAGAGCCUUUAGUAAACUCAACACUACCAACCAACUUGAGUCUCACCUCUGUGGGUCGAGCUACUACAGCCAAAUCCUCUUCCAUCACUACAAAACUGCCAGAGCUGACUGCGCAAGGUAAGCAUGGAAAAUUCAAAUUUUUGCUCAGGCAGGACUUGUUUACGCAUCCC
RNAcentral lists this long non-coding RNA (433 nucleotides) under Athene cunicularia (burrowing owl). RNAcentral's name for it is "lncRNA (ENSACUG00000011940.1)". Lineage: Eukaryota; Metazoa; Chordata; Aves; Strigiformes; Strigidae. The record is from RNAcentral.